Molecule: ribosomal RNA, 255 nt
Filed under: Rhizobium sp. RHZ01
Lineage: Bacteria; Pseudomonadati; Pseudomonadota; Alphaproteobacteria; Hyphomicrobiales; Rhizobiaceae
Also listed under: 1 other name
Description: partial 23S ribosomal RNA
Rfam family: Bacterial large subunit ribosomal RNA
Source: RNAcentral
UGUAAGAAGCGAACGCAGGGAACUGAAACAUCUAAGUACCUGCAGGAAAGGACAUCAACCGAGACUCCGCAAGUAGUGGCGAGCGAACGCGGACCAGGCCAGUGGCAAUUGUGUUUAAAGCGGAACAAUCUGGAAAGUUUGGCCGUAGCGGGUGACAGCCCCGUACGCGUAGAUAGCAUGAUUGUCCUAGAGUAGGGCGGGACACGAGAAAUCCUGUCUGAACAUGGGGAGACCACUCUCCAAGCCUAAGUACUC